Small nucleolar RNA from Takifugu rubripes (torafugu), 90 nucleotides. Ensembl annotates it as small nucleolar SNORD12/SNORD106. NCBI's taxonomy places the organism in Eukaryota, Metazoa, Chordata, Actinopteri, Tetraodontiformes, Tetraodontidae. The record is from Ensembl.
GAUGUGGUUAAUGAUGCAUCUUCUUUCCCUGUCUUAUCGACCAUGUUGAAAGCCAAGGUCUACAUUUAGCCAAAUGUCUGAAACCACAUC